Molecule: ribosomal RNA, 403 nt
Filed under: bacterium
Lineage: Bacteria
Description: partial 16S ribosomal RNA
Rfam family: Bacterial small subunit ribosomal RNA
Source: RNAcentral
UGGGGAAUAUUGCACAAUGGGGGAAACCCUGAUGCAGCGACGCCACGUGAACGAAGAAGGUAUUCGUAUCGUAAAGUUCUGUCCUAUGGGAAGAUAAUGACAGUACCAUAGAAGAAAGCUCCGGCUAAAUACGUGCCAGCAGCCGCGGUAAUACGUAUGGAGCGAGCGUUGUCCGGAAUUAUUGGGCGUAAAGGGUACGCAGGCGGUUUAAUAAGUCGAAUGUUAAAGAUCGGGGCUCAACCCCGUAAAGCAUUGGAAACUGAUAAACUUGAGUAGUGGAGAGGAAAGUGGAAUUCCUAGUGUAGUGGUGAAAUGCGUAGAUAUUAGGAGGAAUACCAGUAGCGAAGGCGACUUUCUGGACACAAACUGACGCUGAGGUACGAAAGCGUGGGGAGCAAACAGG